GACGAACGCUGGCGGCGUGCUUAACACAUGCAAGUCGAACGGUAAGGCUCCAGCUUGCUGGGGUACACGAGUGGCGAACGGGUGAGUAACACGUGGGUGACCUGCCCUGCACUUCGGGAUAAGCCUGGGAAACUGGGUCUAAUACCGGAUAGGACCAUGGUGUGGAUACUGUGGUGGAAAGUUUUUUCGGUGUGGGAUGGGCCCGCGGCCUAUCAGCUUGUUGGUGGGGUAAUGGCCUACCAAGGCGGCGACGGGUAGCCGGCCUGAGAGGGUGGACGGCCACAUUGGGACUGAGACACGGCCCAGACUCCUACGGGAGGCAGCAGUGGGGAAUAUUGCACAAUGGGCGGAAGCCUGAUGCAGCGACGCCGCGUGGGUGAUGACGGCCUUCGGGUUGUAAACUCCUUUCACCAUCGACGAAGGGUUUCUGACGGUAGAUGGAGAAGAAGCACCGGCUAACUACGUG
RNAcentral lists this ribosomal RNA (466 nucleotides) under uncultured bacterium. Its description in RNAcentral is "partial 16S ribosomal RNA". It matches the Rfam family "Bacterial small subunit ribosomal RNA", at positions 28 to 507 of the family's 1533-position model. The record is from RNAcentral.